GAUGAACGCUAGCGGCAGGCUUAACACAUGCAAGUCGAGGGGCAGCACAGGUAGCAAUACUGGGUGGCGACCGGCGCAAGGGUGCGUAACGCGUGAGCAACAUGCCCGUAUCAGGGGGAUAAUCCAUGGAAACGUGGUCUAAUACCCCAUAGUAAGUUUUUGAGGCAUCUCAAGGAUUUUAAAGCUUUGGUGGAUACGGAUUGGCUCGCGUGACAUUAGCUGGAUGGUAGGGUAACGGCUUACCAUGGCUACGAUGUCUAGGGGUUCUGAGAGGAAGGUCCCCCACACUGGAACUGAGACACGGUCCAGACUCCUACGGGAGGCAGCAGUGAGGAAUAUUGGACAAUGGAUGGAAAUCUGAUCCAGCCAUGCCGCGUGCAGGAAGACGGCCCUAUGGGUUGUAAACUGCUUUUGUAUGGGAGCAAUAAGAUCUACGUGUAGAUUGAUGAGAGUACCAUACGAAUAAGCACCGGCUAACU
This 479-nucleotide ribosomal RNA is filed under the name uncultured bacterium. RNAcentral's name for it is "bacterial SSU rRNA". It matches the Rfam family "Bacterial small subunit ribosomal RNA", at positions 28 to 502 of the family's 1533-position model. The record is from RNAcentral.